Grammomys surdaster is the source of this 131-nucleotide small nucleolar RNA. RefSeq annotates it as small nucleolar RNA SNORA17. NCBI's taxonomy places the organism in Eukaryota, Metazoa, Chordata, Mammalia, Rodentia, Muridae. The record is from RefSeq and is a predicted model, not a curated record. The transcript has a single exon.
UCUGCUCCUGAAGCAUGGCAAGUGUGGCUGCCCUGUCACAUGCAUGUCAGUAGGUGGCAGAGAGGAGACAGGCUAUGUCUACAUUCAGUAUUCUGAACUUUGAACAUCUGAAUGAUCAGCAGUCUAAAAUU